CGGCGGUAAUGGCGAAGGGGUCACACCUGUUCCCAUACCGAACACAGUAGUUAAGCCCUUCAGCGCUGAUGGUACUUGGCUGGCAACGGCCUGGGAGAGUAGGACACUGCCG
This 112-nucleotide ribosomal RNA is filed under the name human gut metagenome. The record is from RNAcentral.